Microplitis mediator is the source of this 540-nucleotide long non-coding RNA. RefSeq lists it as uncharacterized. The record is from RefSeq and is a predicted model, not a curated record. Lineage: Eukaryota; Metazoa; Arthropoda; Insecta; Hymenoptera; Braconidae. The transcript is spliced from 3 exons.
GGUUAUACAAUCAAUGGUCGGUAGUGAUUAUUCGUCAUAAUUUAAUUUUUCGACUAUUGAACUGAAGAUCGAAUCUCUCGAUUGUGUAACUGAGGAUGAAGAGUUUUCAGCAAAAUUACAAUAAAUAGCACAAUUUGACAGCAAAUAAUUCAUACUCUUGUGUUCGACUGACUAAUACUUAGAUCGUUAUUAAAUACAAUCAGAACCAAAAUGUCGAAAACACCUUUAUUAUUAUUAUCAAUUUUCUUAAUGAUUGGUCUCUAUACGAGUGCAGUUGAAGGAUGUGCGGGCGGUUGGUGCCAUCCUCAGCAAGGUUACGAGUGUUGUGCAGGUUAUCAAUGUAACCAUUGGUGGGUUCAAGGUAAUUGCGUAACAGAUGCGGAACAUGAUUAUUUGCAUAGGAGUCUAAGGCUAUAAGAAGGUAGAAAGAAAUGAUUAUGAUGUAUGAUUUGGUAGAAACCUACAAAAUAUUAGCUGAUAAAUCCACCAAAGAUGGCUCUUUGUAAUAAUAAUAAUUAAAGAACUAAACAAAUUCAUAAA